Molecule: ribosomal RNA, 1412 nt
Filed under: Lactiplantibacillus plantarum
Lineage: Bacteria; Bacillati; Bacillota; Bacilli; Lactobacillales; Lactobacillaceae
Description: bacterial SSU rRNA
Rfam family: Bacterial small subunit ribosomal RNA
Source: RNAcentral
ACGAACUCUGGUAUUGAUUGGUGCUUGCAUCAUGAUUUACAUUUGAGUGAGUGGCGAACUGGUGAGUAACACGUGGGAAACCUGCCCAGAAGCGGGGGAUAACACCUGGAAACAGAUGCUAAUACCGCAUAACAACUUGGACCGCAUGGUCCGAGCUUGAAAGAUGGCUUCGGCUAUCACUUUUGGAUGGUCCCGCGGCGUAUUAGCUAGAUGGUGGGGUAACGGCUCACCAUGGCAAUGAUACGUAGCCGACCUGAGAGGGUAAUCGGCCACAUUGGGACUGAGACACGGCCCAAACUCCUACGGGAGGCAGCAGUAGGGAAUCUUCCACAAUGGACGAAAGUCUGAUGGAGCAACGCCGCGUGAGUGAAGAAGGGUUUCGGCUCGUAAAACUCUGUUGUUAAAGAAGAACAUAUCUGAGAGUAACUGUUCAGGUAUUGACGGUAUUUAACCAGAAAGCCACGGCUAACUACGUGCCAGCAGCCGCGGUAAUACGUAGGUGGCAAGCGUUGUCCGGAUUUAUUGGGCGUAAAGCGAGCGCAGGCGGUUUUUUAAGUCUGAUGUGAAAGCCUUCGGCUCAACCGAAGAAGUGCAUCGGAAACUGGGAAACUUGAGUGCAGAAGAGGACAGUGGAACUCCAUGUGUAGCGGUGAAAUGCGUAGAUAUAUGGAAGAACACCAGUGGCGAAGGCGGCUGUCUGGUCUGUAACUGACGCUGAGGCUCGAAAGUAUGGGUAGCAAACAGGAUUAGAUACCCUGGUAGUCCAUACCGUAAACGAUGAAUGCUAAGUGUUGGAGGGUUUCCGCCCUUCAGUGCUGCAGCUAACGCAUUAAGCAUUCCGCCUGGGGAGUACGGCCGCAAGGCUGAAACUCAAAGGAAUUGACGGGGGCCCGCACAAGCGGUGGAGCAUGUGGUUUAAUUCGAAGCUACGCGAAGAACCUUACCAGGUCUUGACAUACUAUGCAAAUCUAAGAGAUUAGACGUUCCCUUCGGGGACAUGGAUACAGGUGGUGCAUGGUUGUCGUCAGCUCGUGUCGUGAGAUGUUGGGUUAAGUCCCGCAACGAGCGCAACCCUUAUUAUCAGUUGCCAGCAUUAAGUUGGGCACUCUGGUGAGACUGCCGGUGACAAACCGGAGGAAGGUGGGGAUGACGUCAAAUCAUCAUGCCCCUUAUGACCUGGGCUACACACGUGCUACAAUGGAUGGUACAACGAGUUGCGAACUCGCGAGAGUAAGCUAAUCUCUUAAAGCCAUUCUCAGUUCGGAUUGUAGGCUGCAACUCGCCUACAUGAAGUCGGAAUCGCUAGUAAUCGCGGAUCAGCAUGCCGCGGUGAAUACGUUCCCGGGCCUUGUACACACCGCCCGUCACACCAUGAGAGUUUGUAACACCCAAAGUCGGUGGGGUAACCUUUU